RNAcentral lists this unclassified non-coding RNA (254 nucleotides) under plant metagenome. RNAcentral's name for it is "partial contains small subunit ribosomal RNA, internal transcribed spacer 1, and 5.8S ribosomal RNA". The record is from RNAcentral.
UUUCCGUAGGUGAACCUGCGGAAGGAUCAUUAAAGAGUAAGGGUCCUCUAGGCCCGACCUCCCAACCCUUUGUUUACCAAACCAAUGUUGCUUCGGCGGGCCCGUCUUAGGACCGCCGGAGGACCGUCGAAACGUCCUCUGGCCCGCGCCCGUCGAUGGCCCUUAUUACUAAACUCUGAACCAAACGUGUCCUGUCUGAGUGAUUAUUAUCAAAAUUAAAGCAAAAACUUUCAACAACGGAUCUCUUGGUUCUG